GUCGAGCGAACAGACGAGGAGCUUGCUCCUCUGACGUUAGCGGCGGACGGGUGAGUAACACGUGGAUAACCUACCUAUAAGACCGGGAUAACUUCGGGAAACCGGAGCUAAUACCGGAUAAUAUGUUGAACCGCAUGGUUCAAUAGUGAAAGACGGUUUUGCUGUCACUUAUAGAUGGAUCCGCGCCGCAUUAGCUAGUUGGUAAGGUAACGGCUUACCAAGGCAACGAUGCGUAGCCGACCUGAGAGGGUGAUCGGCCACACUGGAACUGAGACACGGUCCAGACUCCUACGGGAGGCAGCAGUAGGGAAUCUUCCGCAAUGGGCGAAAGCCUGACGGAGCGACGCCGCGUGAGUGAUGAAGGUCUUCGGAUCGUAAAACUCUGUUAUUAGGGAAGAACAAAUGUGUAAGUAACUAUGCACGUCUUGACGGUACCUAAUCAGAAAGCCACGGCUAACUACGUGCCAGCAGCCGCGGUAAUACGUAGGUGGCAAGCGUUAUCCGGAAUUAUUGGGCGUAAAGCGCGCGUAGGCGGUUUUUUAAGUCUGAUGUGAAAGCCCACGGCUCAACCGUGGAGGGUCAUUGGAAACUGGAAAACUUGAGUGCAGAAGAGGAAAGUGGAAUUCCAUGUGUAGCGGUGAAAUGCGCAGAGAUAUGGAGGAACACCAGUGGCGAAGGCGACUUUCAGGUCUGUAACUGACGCUGAUGUGCGAAAGCGUGGGGAUCAA
This 728-nucleotide ribosomal RNA is filed under the name uncultured Staphylococcus sp. Its description in RNAcentral is "bacterial SSU rRNA". It matches the Rfam family "Bacterial small subunit ribosomal RNA", at positions 61 to 771 of the family's 1533-position model. The record is from RNAcentral. Lineage: Bacteria; Bacillati; Bacillota; Bacilli; Caryophanales; Staphylococcaceae.